UACGUAUCCUAAGUCACGCUUUUAAGACACGGAAAACGCAGUUUGAAUUUUGUCAAUCGGCCCAGUAGAACAGGAGAUAUAGAACUGUCAUUUUUUUCCGCAUGUACAUUGGAAAACGCACAGCGCAAGUAGCUGUUUGAUAACUAUUUACCAAGUGGUUUAUUUAUUCACAAAUUUAAGGGAAUAUAAUUUAGAAUAUCGCAAAGGAGCUUGAAUUCGCAUGGGCUCUUCCCGAAGACGUACUUUUCAAGUGUCUUUCUUAUCAGCUAUCAUAGUAAGUUAAGAGCUUACUAAGGUCGUAACGAGGGACAAGAAAUCAGGUGUGUUUCCAGACACGGAGCCUAAGAAAUGGCUACUACAUCCAAGGAAGGCAGGAGUCGAGCAAAUUACCCACUCCUUGAAGAGAGAAGCUCCUUGAACGGAGGACUGACUCAAUGAAGGACGAAAUGAAACAAAAGACUUUUUUGAAACCUCGUAAAUGGAAUGAGUACACUUUAAAUCCUCGAGGAUCAGAUGAAGGGCCUAGUUUGGUCCAGCUGCUGAGGUAAUUAUAGCUCCAGUAGCGUAUAUUUAAAUUAUUGCCGUAGAAAGCUCGAAGCUGGAUUGCAGCUCUACAUGGCUGGGACCGCCUUUUCUGAACAGCCAUCCUGUUUCCUCUGAUGAACUUUACCAGUUGGGCCCGCCUAAAAUGUACACCGGUUAGUGACUCUGUUUACGGUAGCAAUGGGGAGGGUUCGAAUCGCAGAGAAGGCAUGAUUGUAACAGGAGGCAGCGAUGGCUACGUAUUAAGUGCUUGAGUAAUGAAAUGGGAACAACUUCCACCCUAGUGGCUAUUAAAUAAAGAACCCGACCAUUACGAGAAAAAAAUAACCGGUUGUUUUGGAAGAUCGGCACGUUUACUUUGAAAAACAUGAGAAUACUCAAAGCAGGCAUUAGGCCUGAAUAAUGGUACAUGGAACACAGAUCUUCACACUGAAAGCUAUGUACUUUUUUUAUUUCAUAUCUACUACAAGACGUAGGCCUAUAGAAAAGUCUCGGACGAGAUAUCAAUA
RNAcentral lists this non-coding RNA (1052 nucleotides) under Stegodyphus mimosarum. Its description in RNAcentral is "Eukaryotic small subunit ribosomal RNA". It matches the Rfam family "Eukaryotic small subunit ribosomal RNA", at positions 111 to 896 of the family's 1831-position model. The record is from Rfam by way of RNAcentral. Lineage: Eukaryota; Metazoa; Arthropoda; Arachnida; Araneae; Eresidae.